RNAcentral lists this ribosomal RNA (374 nucleotides) under uncultured bacterium. Its description in RNAcentral is "bacterial SSU rRNA". It matches the Rfam family "Bacterial small subunit ribosomal RNA", at positions 527 to 898 of the family's 1533-position model. The record is from RNAcentral.
GUAGGGUGCGAGCGUUGUCCGGAAUUAUUGGGCGUAAAGAGCUCGUAGGCGGCUUGUUGCGUCGGAUGUGAAAGCCCGGGGCUUAACUCCGGGUCUGCAUUCGAUACGGGCAGGCUAGAGUUCGGUAGGGGAGAUCGGAAUUCCUGGUGUAGCGGUGAAAUGCGCAGAUAUCAGGAGGAACACCGGUGGCGAAGGCGGAUCUCUGGGCCGAUACUGACGCUGAGGAGCGAAAGCGUGGGGAGCGAACAGGAUUAGAUACCCUGGUAGUCCACGCCGUAAACGUUGGGCACUAGGUGUGGGCGGCAUUCCACGUCGUCCGUGCCGCAGCUAACGCAUUAAGUGCCCCGCCUGGGGAGUACGGCCGCAAGGCUAAA